RNAcentral lists this non-coding RNA (113 nucleotides) under Ilyobacter polytropus. RNAcentral describes it as "TPP sequence". It matches the Rfam family "TPP riboswitch aptamer (THI element)". From Rfam's summary of the family: Vitamin B(1) in its active form thiamin pyrophosphate (TPP) is an essential coenzyme that is synthesised by coupling of pyrimidine and thiazole moieties in bacteria. The previously detected thiamin-regulatory element, thi box was extended, resulting in a new, highly conserved RNA secondary structure, the THI element, which is widely distributed in eubacteria and also occurs in some archaea. The record is from RNAcentral. Lineage: Bacteria; Fusobacteriati; Fusobacteriota; Fusobacteriia; Fusobacteriales; Fusobacteriaceae. RNAcentral also lists the same sequence under 1 other name.
AUCAAGUAAUUGGGGAGCUGCUGAAAGCGUGCUGAGAUUGAACUUUGUUAGUUCUGAACCCUUAUAACCUGAUGUAGGUAAUGCUACCGUAGGGAUUUUAGACAAUUAAUCGA